AGAUUGAACGCUGGCGGCAUGCCUUACACAUGCAAGUCGAACGGCAGCACGGGAGCAAUCCUGGUGGCGAGUGGCGAACGGGUGAGUAAUACAUCGGAACGUGCCCAAUCGUGGGGGAUAACGCAGCGAAAGCUGUGCUAAUACCGCAUAAGAUCUACGGAUGAAAGCAGGGGAUCGCAAGACCUUGCGCGAAUGGAGCGGCCGAGUGGCAGAUUAGGUAGUUGGUGAGGUAAAGGCUCACCAAGUCCUUACGAUCUGGUACGC
This 264-nucleotide ribosomal RNA is filed under the name uncultured soil bacterium. RNAcentral describes it as "partial 16S ribosomal RNA". It matches the Rfam family "Bacterial small subunit ribosomal RNA", at positions 26 to 289 of the family's 1533-position model. The record is from RNAcentral.